This 459-nucleotide ribosomal RNA is filed under the name uncultured bacterium. RNAcentral's name for it is "partial 16S ribosomal RNA". It matches the Rfam family "Bacterial small subunit ribosomal RNA", at positions 338 to 795 of the family's 1533-position model. The record is from RNAcentral.
CCUACGGGUGGCUGCAGUGAGGAAUAUUGGUCAAUGGCCGAGAGGCUGAACCAGCCAAGUCGCGUGAGGGAAGAAUGUCCUAUGGAUUGUAAACCUCUUUUGUCAGGGAGAAAAGUCACCCAUGUGUGGGUGUUGGAGAGUACCUGAAGAAAAAGCAUCGGCUAACUCCGUGCCAGCAGCCGCGGUAAUACGGAGGAUGCGAGCGUGAUCCGGAUUUAUUGGGUUAAAAGGGUGCGUAGGCGGGUUACCAAGUCAGCGGUGAAAUCGUGGAGCUCAACCCCAUCCAGCCGUUGAAACUGAUGAUCUUGAGUGGGCGAGAAGGAUGCGGAAUGCGCGGUGUAGCCGUGAAAUGCAUAGAUAACACGCAGAACUCCGAGUGCGAAGGGAGCAUACCGGCGCCCGAAUGACGCGGAAGCACGAAAGCGUUGGUAUCGAACAGGAUUAGAUACCCUAGUAGUC